CGGUGGAGUGAUUUGUUUGGUUGAUUCCGUCAACGGACGAGAUCCAAGCUGCCCAGUAGAAGCCAGGAUUGUCUUUUCUGACAGCAAUCUCUUGUGCGGUUUCGGCCGUCAGGGGAUCACCUUCGGUGGGCUUCUUCUCUGCAGGAUUCCUUGCUUUUGCGCAAGGUGAGAUUUUGGGCAACAGCA
RNAcentral lists this ribosomal RNA (186 nucleotides) under uncultured eukaryote. RNAcentral's name for it is "partial 18S ribosomal RNA". It matches the Rfam family "Eukaryotic small subunit ribosomal RNA", at positions 1299 to 1458 of the family's 1831-position model. The record is from RNAcentral.